Long non-coding RNA from Hemicordylus capensis (graceful crag lizard), 5793 nucleotides. RefSeq lists it as uncharacterized. The record is from RefSeq and is a predicted model, not a curated record. The transcript has 3 exons. Lineage: Eukaryota; Metazoa; Chordata; Lepidosauria; Squamata; Cordylidae.
GUCAGUUGGAAUGCAACUGUUACUGGUCGGAAGAUAUUCUUGAUUGGAGAGGAGAGGAAUCUAUAUAUAUAAAAGGAUAGUGGGCAGGGUCGUUAGGGAGGAAAGAGCCAAUUCAGGAGAAGGAGGCUACUGUUGUGUGAAUUAGAUGAGGAAACAAGCUGAACAAGAUCUGUUAACUCAGGAAGGGGUCGGGGAGAAGGGAGAGGAAGAAAGAAAGAGGGGAAGGAAGUGGAAAAGAGAAAAAGGGAGAGAGAAGGAAGGGAGGGGAAGAGAGAAAGAAGGCAGGGUGAGGAAUGGGCCCAAGCCUGUCAGUGGCCUGAGGAGAAUGAGUGGCCAUGGCGGUGCCUAUUGGCAGCAAGGAAGGGCCCAGUCAACCACUGCUGCUGCUUGGGGCUACCAAGGCCAUUAGCGGAGACAGGCAGGAAGGCAAGGGCCAGGCCCGGGCCUGUUAGAGGCCUGAAGAGUAUGAGCGGGUGGCAGCAGGGAAGAAGGACCUGGUCAACCGCUGCUGCUGCUGCUCCUGUGGGGAGGAGCAGAAGCGGGCCUCGGGUGAGGAUGGGGAGGUCUCUGGGGACAGAGGGCUGCAACUUGGCCAAUAGGUGCCAGCAACGCUUCAGCCGCGACCAAGAGGGGUGAGGGGGGUGGAGUAAAGGGAUGGAGGACUAACCAAGGGGGUGAGGGGUAUGGAAGAAACCAGAUGGAAGAGGAGGAGCAGGAGUGUAGAUCAGGUGAGAGUGGAGAGAUCUCGGAGGGGAGGGGAGGGCUGUAUGCAGAAGGUGAGGGGAACAAUCAAGUAGUAGUGUGCAGAUGCUCUGCGUGGGUUAAGCUAGUAUAUAUCUUAUAUAUAUUUAAUUCUCUAAGACGUACCCAUGGCUAAUCCCAUGUGUUGCAGCUCUCGGGAGAGUUCAGAAAGCUGCUGGAUAGCCACGGGGACAGGAAACAGCCAUGGUGGCUGGUGGAGGCAGCCUUUCGGUGGAGCUGCACUGGCGGUACAAGGAGGUGAAGCAGCGCCAAUGCUGUGACUACAAUAAUUAUGAAAGUUGAUAGCUGAGCUCUACAUCAGAUUUCACUAUUGCAGCGAAUACAAAAAAGCUCAAGGAAUCUGAAGAUCACACUAUGCCAAGUCCUGAACAUACACACAACACUAUGAACAAACUUGGACCUGAACAAGAGUCCUACAUGCAUGCUAACAGAGCAUCUUCAUUCAUUUAAAUGGAUGAAUUGUCAAAAUUUUGCAAUCCUAUGGAUGUGCUAAUGCCAGGUCCAAGGGAUAUUUAUCCCACAGAAGGGACAGAGUAAGGAAGAACCAUCACAUAGAUACUGUUAAUUAUGAAGAAACAACCAAGGCAUCCUAGUAGUUCAGUUUGCAGAGAGUAGGGGAUCUGAGUCAAUAGUCCUCCUUCUGGACAGAGACUGUGAGAGAAGAAUGCAUAGGGUAUGUGGACAUAGUGUGAAACCUUGGGUAGAUGAGCCUGUGGUUAAUCUGUGGACCUGGGAAUCAUCCCGCAGACAAUCGUCCAACUGCAGUUUCACAACCUCUGGCUUCUGGGCAGAGGGACCCCUCCCUUUUCCUGGUCUGCCAAGGCUGCAUCCCAGCAAGCUCCCUACUGCUCACAUCGCCAGAUUGCGGGCAAGGCAUCAGGACAUACAUAGAGUGGCAACCGUUGGCCAUGUGUGGUGUAGUGGUUAGAGUGCUGGACUAGGACCGGGAGACCCGAGUUCAAAUCCCCAUUCAGCCAUGAUACUAGCUGGGUGACUCUGGGCCAGUCAUUUCUCUCUCAGCCUAACCUACUUCACAGGGUUGUUGUGAAGAGAAACUUGAGUAUGUAGUACACUGCUCUGGGCUCCGUGGAGAAAGAGCGGGUUAUAAAUGUAAAUAAAAAUAAAAAUAAAAUAAAAAAGGAACUUUGAGUGGGCAUGCCCAGUGUGAUCGUGCCUUUUAGGCAUUGAUCACCUGCCCACAGCAGAGAAAAUAUAUUUUAAUCCUUUCCUCACACCACUUGUACCACUACCCUUGCAAGAGCCCUGCAGCAAUACAAUCUCGCACAAACACAUGUAUUGGGGGAUGGAGAGGGGCACUAGUGUUCUGUUACUCCAUGAAGGGAUCAUGAUCUUAGAGAGCGCCUUCUUUUACAUGAUCCCCACUGCACGUUAAGGUCAUCUGGGGAGGUCCGUCUCCAGUUACCACCAGUUGGUUUGGUGGCGACUCAGAGGCGGGCCUUCUCUAUAGCUACUCCUGGGCUGUGGAAUGCACUCCCAGCAGAAAUUCGUAAUCUUAAUUCUUUACUGACUUUCAAGAGAGCCCUUAAAACUCAUCUGUUUGGCCUGGCCUUUUGGGGUUUUUAAUUAGUUUUAAUUGUUUUAAUGGUAGCCUGGUUUUCAGGGUUUUAAUUGUUUUGAUAGUUUAAUUGUUUUUUAAGAUGUUUUUAAAUUGGUGUUUAUAUUUGUAUUUCUGUUUUAAUUGUUUUUAAUGAUUUCUGUUUUUUAAUUGUAAACCAUCCUGAGCCAGCUCGGAAGGGCAGUAUAAAAAUCAAAUAAAUAAAUAAAUAAUGACUUCCUAAGGGGGGAUAACUAUAUGAGGGCAGGCAAAGGAUCCUGAGGUUUAGUCCACUGUGACGAAAGGAUUAUAUUGGACUCCUAGACCUGGGGCCAGGCAGUCCAAGAAGCCCCAACACACUCCUGCUCCCAUGUCAGCCUGCCGGCUGAGGAUUAGUCCUCUCAUGAGAGGGCCAGUCCACUGGGGAAAACCAGAGGCACCAUGUGCUUCAGGUCUCCACUGGACAGUACUCUCAUGAGGCCAGCUAUCCAACUAUAAGGGCCCCUGCUGAUGUGGGGCUCCCAGUAUCUCUGGCUAAUAAUAGAACUCUUACUCCAUACCUUCCCAUCGCCACUCAACCCUUCCAGACCUCCAAGCAGUUUGUUCUGCUCCAUAUGUCCAAGUAGUUUCCGGUGGGUAUUGUUGGGAAAGACAGCGGAUGGAUACCAUGUCCGCAGCCGGAUGGGCUGGGCUGGGACUGGUGUUGUGGUAUAUGUAAGUUGGAUACCUGGGGGAUCCCAGGGCAGGACACCCAUGGAUUUCAGUGAUCACUGGCAAACCAGGUGGCCAUGCAGGGUGGGCAGGCAGGCAGGCAGGCAAGCAGGAAGGAAGGAAGGAAGGAAGGAAGGAAGGAAGGAAGGAAAUGUGUUACAGGGAGACCAGACUGUCAGAGGGGGAGCUUGGACUGCUUUUCAGAAGUCACAGGGACCAGGAAAGGUGUUGCUGGGGUACCCUUCCCUGGAGCUUGCGUGGAUCUAGCAACCGGGCUGGGCAGCAACAGCUAGAGUCGUCAGCUGUCCCGUACUGCACGGGAUGUCCCUACUUCCUGCGGAAAAAUGCUCGUCCCGUUCAGGACUCAACUUCUCACACUUUUUGACCUUUUCAAUCUUUUUUUAAAAAAAAAUUAAAAGCCACCGCUAAGCACCAAUGGAGCGGAGACAGCAUCAAGAGCUCUCCCACCUCCCAAACUAUGUGAAAUGAAUGGCUCUGGCCAGGACAGGGGCAGGCUUACACGCGGAGGGCACUCUGGCAAUAGGUGGACUGCAGAUGAAUUGAAGGGAAGGCACUGCCAUUGACUGCAGGUGGAAUUGAGAGAAGAUGGUGAAAGAGUCCUUUGCUCAGCCCCUCCUUCCCAAAUGAGGCAGACGGGACGAUUUCAGGCUUUAAAAGUAAUUUUUUAAAAGCCCCACCCUUAGGUGGCCAUGCCCUCCACCCCCCUCUUGGAGUCCCCGUCCUGAUUUCAGCCAACGCAAUGUUGGCAACCCUAGCAACAGCCCUCCGGCCCACAUGUGUGUCUCUAUGGCCAGGCACUCUCAUGAAAGAGUGCGCCUUGGGAGAAGGGAGCAUGCUUCUAUUGCAUAUGAUGUUGUCACACUGAGCUCUCAAGUCCAUCCCUGUUUCCCUUUGGAAGGUUCUGCUUAUGAGUUAUGGCUGAGACUGCAUGCUUGAACCCUAGGAGAAGGGGCUGAUCCCUCCUUCCCCUACAAACUGGUACAAAAAGUAGAACAGAAUCACUGAUAAAAUCCAGGGUAUAUUCUUUUAACCCAAAGUUUUGUCUUAUCCCAUUGAUGGUAGACUUUCUUUUACCAACCGUCUGGGGUACCUCCAAGCCAUAGGGGGUGGGGGGAGACAAGGCUGAGCAUCUAGAUACGUGUGUGUGUGUGUGUGUGUGUGUGUGUGUGUGUGUGUGUGCGCGCGCGUGCGCAGAGUUAAGGGCACCCCUCUAUGAAGUUGGAGGGAGCAGCACUGUCCACAGGAACCUUAAAAAUGCAGACACUAUCCAGGUAUCCAACAACAAUGCAAAUAUUGAUAUACCGCUUUCCAACAAAAGUUUACAAAGCGGUUUACAUAGAGAAAUAAUAAAUAAAUAAGAUGGAUCCCUGUCCCCAAAGGGCUCACAAUCUAAAAAGAAACAGAAUGCAUAUCAGCAACAGUCACUAGAGGUACUGUUCUGGGGGUGGAUAGGGCCAGGGAAAUCCAUGCCCUGCUGCCCAACCAGACAGCACACACAACACCUUUGAAAGGAUGCCUUGCUGGGCAGCUGCACUAGAUCAUAUGUGUUUAUUAAUGAAAGGGCUCCUUGCACAUGUGCCCUUUCACCUUUCCCUGCUAGAAGCUGUCAAAACAUUUUGUAUGGUAAUUGCAAGUAAACAUCCUGCAUGCUGAGCAAACAUACCAAGCCGUUGCAGGUUUCUCAAGAAAUCCAAUCAAAUGGACUGAGACAGACACCAGAUUUGUGGGGCUACGUGUUGUCUCUUUCUCAAUAUGACUGGACAACAGGAAGGUUUCCACAGCCAGGGUUUCCACCAGUUUAUGCACAGGGUCGGCACAUUGGUGUUUCUGCCAAGCGAUGUGGUUGUGGCAUCACUCCCUUGGCAUGUGUGCCCUUUGUGGGGAAACAACCGAGUUGCUCAGUUUCUGGUGUUACUGGGGCUUCAUGUGCACAGAUCUCUGCAGUCCUGAAUUGCUGACGACCUCUCUUGCUGUGCCUGUCUUGACAUCCCAUACCUUUUGUGUGGAUGGACAAUGUGAGGACUAUGAAAAGCACUGGGCUUUCCCCAAAUCAGGCUGCAUGACAAAUAAAAUGGUGGGGGGUAGAAGAGCUGAGUACCACCUUUAUAGUUUUUCUAAAUGAAACUUUAAAAAAAAUAUUUCAGCAUUCCUCAUAGGAAAGAUUCCUAACCCAUCUAUCACUUUGUCUUUUUCUGCUACCCCUUGUCCUAGUUUUACAAUAUCAAUUUUGAGAUAAGACAGUGUUCUAAAUGUGACCAUAGCAUAGCAAAAAUAGAAAGAUGUUUGCAUUUGGCCUGACUGCAAUGGAAGCAUUUUGUCUGAUUGGUUUUACUAUUACUUCAUUAUUCAAAUGGAUGGUGUUUUGUUUUUUGUGUGCCUGUAUGUUUUGUAAUGUGUCCCUGACCUUCAGGAUAUAUAUAUGUAUUAUAUACUGAUAAUGUAUAAAAUAAAAGCAAUAAGUAAAAAUGCAUCCAUCAUCUGACAGUUGUGUUCUGGAAGAAAAUAUGCACUAUCUCAAAACAUUUAAUGAUUUAAGCAAAUGGAGCUAGUGUGAGGAAUAACAACUGCUGAAGAGUGUAAUUUGAACAGAAAAAUCAGUUAUUUUGAUAUAUUUUUAAUGUGCUUAAUGUUCUGAAUGAAACUGGUUUUAAUGUGGUUAUUGGAUUUUUUCAUACAUUUAUUUCUAUUGUUGUAUAUAUUUACUGUACAUUGAGUUGCAAUGCAUAUAUGAAAGAGAAAAAAAU